AUGUACCAGGCGAUCCCCUACGGCGUCGGCCGGCUGCCGCGUGCCCGCGGCGGUCCGAGCAGGCCGAGGCCGAGAGCGCGGCCAGCCAGGAGGGCGGGCUCGCGGCUCGCCGGCGCGGCGGCAAGGGGCGACGGCGGGGAGGCGGUGAGGAGGGCGGUGGCAGAGAGCCUGGUGCUAGUGGUGGGGAGGCGCGGGUGCUGCCUCAGCCACGUGGUGAAGCGGCUGCUGUAGGGGCUUGGGGUGAACCCUGCCGUGCACGAGGUCGCCGACGAGGACGAGCUCACCGCGGCGGUGGCCGGGAACGCUGGAGGCGAGGCUGUCAUCACGCUGCCGGCGGUGUUCGUCGGUGGGAGGCUCCUCGGCGGGCUCGAUCGGCUCAUGGCCGUGCACAUCUCCGGCGAGCUCGUGCCCAUACUCAAGGACGCCGGCGCGCUCUGGCUCUGA
This 444-nucleotide ribosomal RNA is filed under the name Triticum aestivum (bread wheat). Its description in RNAcentral is "partial small subunit ribosomal RNA". Lineage: Eukaryota; Viridiplantae; Streptophyta; Magnoliopsida; Poales; Poaceae. The record is from RNAcentral.